Molecule: unclassified non-coding RNA, 247 nt
Filed under: Hevea brasiliensis (rubber tree)
Lineage: Eukaryota; Viridiplantae; Streptophyta; Magnoliopsida; Malpighiales; Euphorbiaceae
Source: RNAcentral
GGUGCACAAUAUAUCUCAACACCUAAAAAUUAAAUGAUCAGAAAUUAAGAUGAAAUGUGUGAAAGUCAAGGGUAGAAAAGAACAGAGCAGUCUAAUUCCAGCCAAAACAAUAAUGUUAUGCACAUCAUAAUCAUAUGUCAAGCAAAUAAUAUAUGCUUUCAACCAAAACUACCCAGGUGCAGUUGAUUUCAAUUAUUAAGAUGUAAUUACCUAGAAGCAUUACAACCUAGAAGUAUUACACAUUUCU